GGAUGACUUUGAUUUUAAUUUAGUAUAAAUAUAAACCCUUGUUAUCAUCCCCCUGCAGAAUUCUAGAGCAAGUGUUCAAGAUCAUCCGUCCAAAUACCAAUUCAGAUCAAGAUGGCUAUGGCCAUGAAAGUUGAGAUCAUACACAAAGAAACCAUCAAACCAUCUUCUCCAACCCCACCUGACCUUAAAACCCUCAAGCUUUCCCUUCUGGAUCAGUUCACUCCUGCCACUUAUACACCAAUAAUUCUCUUUUACCCUGCAGGUGCUGAAAGAUCACAAAACCUAAAGACAUCGCUAUCUGAAACCUUAACUCUCUGGUACCCACUUGCAGGCAGGCUCAAAGAUAAUGCCUAUAUAAAGUGUGAAGAUCAGGGAGCUAAAUAUGUUGAAGCUCGCAUCAAAUGUCCUCUCUCAGAUAUUCUCAAUAAGCCUGACGUAGAGGUGCUAAAGCAAUUCCUGCCUGCGAGUAUAGAAUCUCCUGAAGCAGCGACGGGUAAUUUUUUACUCGUCCAAGCCACUUUCUUUGACUGCGGUGGCUUGGCAAUUGGGGUUUGUAUCUCGCAUAAGAUGGCUGAUGCAGCCACAUUAAACACAUUCGUUAGAAGCUGGGCUGCAACAGCCAAUAGCUCGAGUGAACUGGUACGUCCUGUAUUCAUGGGUGCAUCUAUUUUCCCACCAAUAGACUUGUCAAUUCCAAUGACCCCAGUGGAGCUGAUGCAACGAAAGUGCAUCACAAAAAGGUUUGUGUUUAGUGCCUCGAAGCUUGCUGCUUUGAGGGCUAAAGUUGCCAGUACAAGCGUGCCAAAGCCAUCGAGGGUGGAAGCUGUGUCGGGACUUAUCUGGAAAGGUGUAAUGACUGCGGUAAGAUCAAACUUUGGAUGUUUCAGGCCAUCAGUAUGGUCAAUUUCUGUGAAUUUGCGUAAGAGGCUGGUCCCAGCCUUACCAGAAAACUACUCGGGCAACUGCGUGGGGUUCAUUGGUCCAAAGAAUAUUGAAGAUAACGAGCUAGAAUUGCAAGAGCUAGUGGGUAGAAUAAGGAAAGAAAUGGAAGAAUUUGGUGAAAAUUAUGUGAAAAAAAUUCAAGAGGAUGGAGCUUUAUUAGCAAUUUGUGAUUUUUCUAAGGAGUUUGGAGAGCUUGCCAAGAGUAAUCAUACUGACUUCUAUGUCUGCUCUAGCUGGUGUAAAUUCGACAUAUAUGGUGCUGAUUUCGGAUGGGGAAGGCCCAUAUGGGUGAGCAGUACAAGCACAGAAGUAAGGAAUGUUGCUAUUUUGAUGGAUACUAGAGACGGCGAUGGAAUAGAAGCAUGGUUGACUCUGAGUGAAGAAGACAUGGCCUUGCUCGAAUCUAAUCAAGAGCUGCUUGAAUUUGCUGCGCUGAAUCCUAGUGUACCUCUUAGCUAGCUAAGUAAUUAACAGCUGGUGUAUUCUAAGGAUUUCGUGUUUCUUCUACCAUGUUCCAUGUGACACAGAUUGUCUUCUUCCUGCCAAUUUUCUUUAUAUUUGAAACAGAAUGCUAUUCAGGGCCGCCUGUGAGUGUGAUGUGUCUAUCAAUAUAAAUAAAGAAUAAGGUCAAUGUUCU
This 1579-nucleotide unclassified non-coding RNA is filed under the name Hevea brasiliensis (rubber tree). The record is from RNAcentral. Lineage: Eukaryota; Viridiplantae; Streptophyta; Magnoliopsida; Malpighiales; Euphorbiaceae.